UACGUAGGGAGCAAGCGUUGUUCGGAUUUACUGGGCGUAAAGGGCGCGUAGGCGGCGUGUCAAGUCAAUUGUGAAAUCUCCGGGCUUAACUCGGAACGGCCAAUUGAUACUGUCAUGCUAGAGUGCAGAAAGGGCAAUCGGAAUUCUUGGUGUAGCGGUGAAAUGCGUAGAUAUCAAGAGGAACACCUGAGGCGAAGGCGGGUUGCUAGGCUGACACUGACGCUGAGGCGCGAAAGCCAGGGGAGCAAACGGG
This 253-nucleotide ribosomal RNA is filed under the name uncultured bacterium. Its description in RNAcentral is "partial 16S ribosomal RNA". It matches the Rfam family "Bacterial small subunit ribosomal RNA", at positions 524 to 776 of the family's 1533-position model. The record is from RNAcentral.